ACCUCUUUCCACAUCUUCAUCUCUGCUUAUUAAAUCUAAGCCAACACCACCAAUAACGUAGUUUCAUUGCCUGAAGCUAAUAAGUUUAUCAAUACAACAAUUUCUCUCUCUCUCUCUCUCUCUAUAUAUAUAUAUAUAUAUAUAUAUAUAGGAGCAGAGAAGCCGCCAUUGGAAUAUGAAAAAGGGUGAGUGGUUUUCAUGCUUAAUUUGUCUGUUAUUGAACGUCUCCCAAAACCCUAAUUUCAUUCAAUUUCCUCUUCUUCUCCUUUUCAUUUUAGCAUAUACAUACUUGAUUUAAUUAACUAAUUAUCUCAAAUUGCCACAAUGAAUUAUUGUAUUCUUUGAGUUAAAACUAAGUCGUUAGAUCAAUACGAAGGGGUGAUAAUUAUAAGAAAGUUGGGGAGUUAAAUUCCCUUCUAUGACUUUUGUAUUUUGGUAUUUAGUUACAACUUGACAUGCAAAGAUAUGUCACAAUAAUCCCUCCUUUUAAGGUAUAUGUAUAAUAUAUUACUAAUACUUAGUGAAUUAUAGCGGAGUGGCAUCAUUUAUCAUGUACCCCGGCCCACAAAAUAUUUGUAGUACCUAUUUAUUGCUUAUAAAAUAAAAGGGCGUACUAUCUCAACAUAAAUAGCAGUCCUAAAUUAUUUUAAAGAAAACGUAAACUUUAAAUUAUGUGUUAAGUUGGAGAAUAAUGAAAACAUAGAUUAAUUUCUAAUUUGGUGCAAUUUGGGGUAGAAUGGGUUGGUGAAAAUGUGAAUUAAAAAGGCAUAAAUCUUCACCAGUCGGUCAAACCUAAAGUCACGUGUGAGAGCAUAGAUUUUAAUCACUUUGAUUACUUCCACACGAGCCAAAUAUCUUUGGAACCUUUAUUUGUGUGCCUAUAAAUUCCACUCAUCAACAAUCAUCAUGAUGCCGCCUCUGCAUCCAUGACUUUCUCUUCUCUUUUCUUCAAUUCUCCAUCUCCCUCACACAAACACACACAUCUUAUCUUGAUUACUUCUGAUCUUGCACAAGCUUAUAGCAACUUCCAUAAAUUUCUCAGUUUUUGUUGAAUUUUAAUUUAUUAUCUAAGGUUUGUGCUCGUCAUAUUAAUUAGGGGUUUUCACGGUGAGAAGAUUGAGAUGAUGAUAUGGAUUGGUGAGGUGAAACAAGUGAUUUCCAUAAUAUUCUUGUUAAGUGAGCUGUCGCCUUUUGCAGUGUGCCUUUGCUUCAUUGUCUGUUCGACCUUACAAAACCCUAGCUUCUGCGCAUAAUAUUUUGAUUCGUAAGAUUUUUAUAUGUUAAUUAGACCACAUGAAUGACUGAAAAUUUUAAAAUUCUUCUAGAAAUAUCCAUGAAAUCUCAAAUUAUGAAUGAUCCUUUUGGAGAAUAGAGUUUGUGCAAAACAAAUAUUCCACCUUUGAUUUUGAUUACAUGAUUGUUGAGUAUAUAUUUUAAACGAUCCUUAAUAAGUUUUCCUAUCCAUGUUUCGCGUAUAAGAUAGAACUUUCAAUGAAAAUAUAUUUAGUUAUAUAAUAACCAGAUUUCCUACAUAUCACCUUAUUUUUGUGAUGGUCAUAGGUGAUUGAAUUAGUAAUUUCUCUUGAUAUGCAUAUAAAUAGAUGUUGAUGAAUGAUGCCAUAUAAUGAGUCAUAAGAGAAUGUAUAGAUAUUUAUAAAGAUGAUGAAAUGAGUAUAGAAGAUUUAGGAACUUGUACUUUCCUGAGAUUGCGCUGAUCAUAUUGGUAGCUGCAACAGAUUUAGGUUGCACCUUCAGUCCUUCUAGUCUUGAAACUGCUGCAUUAAUUUUUUGUCAUCUACGUUACAAAUCCAACUGUAAUUCUCACUUUUUACCAAAAAAAUAUACGUGACAGUACAUAUGGUUUGGUGUACAGUAUGGGUAAAAAUAAGUGAUUCUUUUAAUAAUCUUUAAAGAGGGGGACCAUGGAUGCCCAUUGCAUAUUAUUGUUUGAAUUUAAGGUAGCAAACUCUAUGGCAGUGUGUGUGUCAGUCUAUGUAUCUUCAAAUUUGCAAAGCUUAUGAUAAACAUAUUUGGUGGUCGACGUUUUAAUUAGUCUAAAGUUUUUGUAUGAUGUGAGACAUGAGAUUGAAAUUAAAAGGAUGUUUAGUUAGGAUUAGUUUAAGGUUGAACAGACAAUGAAGCUAAGUUAUACUUGCAACUGACUGCUUGCUUGCCAAGGCUAAGCAUGGGAAUCGAUUUUUCAGUUGCACCGGAAAAGGGAAGAGAUUUGUAGCUUCAAUAAUUUCUUGUAUAUUACUCUCCAUGUUCUUAAUCAUCUAUUUGCAGGGCAUAGAAUUGCUAUCAUUGAACUUGUAUUUACAAAUAAUUUAUAUACAACUCAGUUUGUGUUCCUUAAUAUUUAUUCUCUCGUACCUAAAAAAUAGACAACAUUUGAAACGAUGCGGGUUUUAAUGUAGAAUUGAUAAAAUAAGAGGGAGAUAGAAAGAAAAAGUGAAUGGAGUUGUGUUAGUGGAGAAUGAGACCCACCUUGAAAAAAUUUCCUUAAAUAAAAUUGGUUUUUUUUUACUUUUAAUGGACACUCCAAAAUGGUAAAUGUGGUCUAUUUUUAAGGGACGGAGGAAGUAUAUUUCACGGUGCUUUGCUUCAACAGUUUCUACGUCAAUUAAUGCAUGUGAUGUCCAUAGCGUGUAUAUUAAGGAGCCUUAGAAAAGCAAGAAGCCCGCACUGUUUUCAAAUCUCUUUGUUGAGGUGGUUUUCAUUUCUGAGAGCUGAAGUGACGGCCAGAAUUGCGUGGGAGAUUACAAUUAUACCCUCCAGAUUUUUGGGUCAAUAAUGUAUUUUACAAAUUGGAACAUGGGUAUUUGGGUCAGAACCCUAUUCUUUGAUUAAAAUAAGAAUUUCCACACUUUCCAAACCAACACCAAAUCUAGGGAACCGAACGCUAGUAUAUAGACUCAAUUAUGUGAGCCCUACCAUGACAAUUCAGACCAAGAUAUAUUUCUAUGCAUUUCAUAUAAAGAUUUGGUGCACGACUCUGUAGCUGUUACUGUU
Molecule: long non-coding RNA, 3012 nt
Organism: Salvia splendens (bonfire salvia)
Lineage: Eukaryota; Viridiplantae; Streptophyta; Magnoliopsida; Lamiales; Lamiaceae
Exons: 2
Source: RefSeq, a predicted model, not a curated record